Molecule: long non-coding RNA, 257 nt
Filed under: Malus domestica (apple)
Lineage: Eukaryota; Viridiplantae; Streptophyta; Magnoliopsida; Rosales; Rosaceae
Description: long non-coding RNA (MDOM_LNC003956)
Source: RNAcentral
UGAAUAACUAGGCACCUGACAUUUAAUAUUUUCUCGGUUCAGACAUGUUAUAACGAAUUGACAUUAGAAAGUAAUCAAGCUUUACAAAAGUCGAGGUCAUUUUUUGAUGAGGGAUACCGAGGUCUUGGUCCUGAGGGUGAAUUGGAGUUUCUGACGUCGCUUCAGGCUCGACCAUAGGCCUCUUUCCACGAUCGGCCGCCGGAGGAUCAACCUAAUCGGCUGCCUCAACCACGGCAGGAGGAUCAACGGAAGGGGCU